RNAcentral lists this transfer RNA (71 nucleotides) under Marmota monax (woodchuck). Its description in RNAcentral is "tRNA.Ala". The record is from RNAcentral. Lineage: Eukaryota; Metazoa; Chordata; Mammalia; Rodentia; Sciuridae.
GGGGUUGUGGCUCAGUGGUAGAGUGCUUGCGUAGCACAUAUGAGGCACUGGGUUCAAUCAUCAGCACCACA